Ursus americanus (American black bear) is the source of this 100-nucleotide small nuclear RNA. NCBI's taxonomy places the organism in Eukaryota, Metazoa, Chordata, Mammalia, Carnivora, Ursidae. The record is from Ensembl.
GUGCUGGCUUUGGUGGCACGAAUAGUAAACUGGGCACCAUACAGAGAAGGUUCGCAUGGCCCCUGCGUAAGGAUAGUGCGCAAAACAGUCCCAUCUAGAA